GACGAACGCUGGCGGCGUGCUUAACACAUGCAAGUCGAACGGUGAAGCGCCUUCCUUUUUGGUGGGUGUGGAUGAGUGGCGAACGGGUGAGUAACACGUGAGUAACCUGCCCCCUUCUUCUGGAUAACCGCAUGAAAGUGUGGCUAAUACGGGAUUUUCUGGGUCUGUCGCAUGAUGGGUCUGGGAAAGAUAUUGUUUCGGUGGGGGAUGGGCUCGCGGCCUAUCAGCUUGUUGGUGGGGUGAUGGCCUACCAAGGCGGUGACGGGUAGCCGGCCUGAGAGGGUGGACGGUCACACUGGGACUGAGACACGGCCCAGACUCCUACGAGAGGCAGCAGUGGGGAAUAUUGCACAAUGGGCGCAAGCCUGAUGCAGCGACGCCGCGUGAGGGAUGGAGGCCUGCGGGUUGUGAACCUCUUUCGCCAGUGAAGCAGGCCUGCCUCGUUUGUGGGUGGGUUGACGGUAGCUGGAGAAGAAGCGCCGGCUAACUACGUG
RNAcentral lists this ribosomal RNA (494 nucleotides) under uncultured bacterium. Its description in RNAcentral is "partial 16S ribosomal RNA". It matches the Rfam family "Bacterial small subunit ribosomal RNA", at positions 28 to 507 of the family's 1533-position model. The record is from RNAcentral.